Molecule: long non-coding RNA, 1023 nt
Filed under: Apteryx haastii (Great spotted kiwi)
Lineage: Eukaryota; Metazoa; Chordata; Aves; Apterygiformes; Apterygidae
Description: lncRNA (ENSAHAG00000016628.1)
Source: RNAcentral
AUGAGUAGGAAGUCAAGCAAAGGAGGUAGGAGACCUGCAUGGAUGAGCAAGGAGCUCCUGGCAAAACUCAACCAGAAGAAGGAAGUAUACAGAAAGUGGAAAGGGGGACAGGCCACUUGGGAGGAAUAUAGGAACGUUGUCAGAGGAUGCAGGGAUGUGACGAGGAAGGCUAAGGCCCGUUUGGAAUUAAAUCUGGCWAGRGAYGUCAAGGACARCAAGAAGGGCUUCUUCAAAYACAUCAGUAGCAAGAGGAAGACUAGGGAAAAUGUGGGCCCUUUGCUGAAUGGGGUGGGUGCCCUGGUGACGAAGGAUGCAGAGAAGGCAGAGUUACUGAAUGCCUUCUUUGCUUCAGUCUUUACUGCUCAGGCCAGCCCUCAGGAAUCCCAGAGCCUGGAGGCAAGAGGGAAAGUCUGGAGAAAGGAAGACUUUCCCUUGGUGGAGGAGGAGUGGGUUAGAGAUCAUUUAAGCAAACCUGACACCCACAAAUCCAUGGGUCCCGAUGGGAUGCACCCACGAGUGCUGAGGGAGCUGGCGGAUGUCAUUGCUAAGCCACCCUCCAUCAUCUUUGAAAGGUCAUGGAGGAGAGGAGAGGUGCCUGAGGACUGGAAGAAAGCCAAUGUCACCGCAGUCUUCAAAAAGGGCAAGAAGGAGGACCCACGAAACUACAGGCCAGUCAGCCUCACCUGCAUCCCUGGAAAGGUGAUGGAGCAGCUCAUCCUGGAGGCCAUCUCCAAGCAUGUGGAGGAAAAGAAGGUGAUCAGGAGUAGUCAGCAUGGCUUCACCAAGGGGAAAUCAUGCCUAACCAAUCUGAUAGCCUUCUAUGAUGGAAUGACUGGCUGGGUAGAUGAGGGGAGAGCAGUGGAUGUUGUCUACCUUGACUUCAGCAAGGCUUUUGACACUGCCUCCCAUAACAUCCUCAUAGGGAAGCUCAGGAAGUGUGGGUUAGAUGAGCGGACAGUGAGGUGGAUUGAGAACUGGCUGAAUGGCAGAGCUCAGAGUUGUGAUCAGUGGCACAGAGUCUAG